This 253-nucleotide ribosomal RNA is filed under the name uncultured bacterium. RNAcentral describes it as "partial 16S ribosomal RNA". It matches the Rfam family "Bacterial small subunit ribosomal RNA", at positions 524 to 776 of the family's 1533-position model. The record is from RNAcentral.
UACGUAGGGUGCGAGCGUUAAUCGGAAUUACUGGGCGUAAAGUGUGCGCAGGUGGCCGCGCAAGUCGAGUGUGAAAUCCCCGAGCUUAACUUGGGAAUUGCGCUCGAAACUACGUGGCUCGAGUGUGGCAGAGGAAGGUGGAAUUCCACGUGUAGCGGUGAAAUGCGUAGAGAUGUGGAGGAACACCGAUGGCGAAGGCGGCAUCCUGGACCGGUAUUGACGCUGAUGCGCGAAAGCCAGGGGAGCAAACGGG